RNAcentral lists this ribosomal RNA (388 nucleotides) under Marinobacter sp. Its description in RNAcentral is "bacterial SSU rRNA". It matches the Rfam family "Bacterial small subunit ribosomal RNA", at positions 88 to 472 of the family's 1533-position model. Lineage: Bacteria; Pseudomonadati; Pseudomonadota; Gammaproteobacteria; Pseudomonadales; Marinobacteraceae. The record is from RNAcentral.
CUGACGAGCGGCGGACGGGUGAGUAAUGCAUAGGAAAUUGCCCAGUAGUGGGGGAUAGCCCGGGGAAACCCGGAUUAAUACCGCAUACGUCCUUCGGGAGAAAGCAGGGGAUCUUCGGACCUUGCGCUAUUGGAUGUGCCUAUGUCGGAUUAGCUAGUUGGUGGGGUAAAGGCCUACCAAGGCGACGAUCCGUAGCUGGUCUGAGAGGAUGAUCAGCCACAUCGGGACUGAGACACGGCCCGAACUCCUACGGGAGGCAGCAGUGGGGAAUAUUGGACAAUGGGGGCAACCCUGAUCCAGCCAUGCCGCGUGUGUGAAUAAGGCUUUCGGGUUGUAAAGCACUUUCAGUGAGGAGGAAAACCUUAUGGUUAAUACCCAUGAGGCUUGA